This 1084-nucleotide long non-coding RNA is filed under the name Salmo trutta (river trout). Its description in RNAcentral is "lncRNA (ENSSTUG00000032686.1)". The record is from RNAcentral. Lineage: Eukaryota; Metazoa; Chordata; Actinopteri; Salmoniformes; Salmonidae.
UAUGUAAAGACGAGGCAAGCAGAGAUAGGCGUCUCUCUCGCUCUCUCUUUGUUUGUGAGAGAGAGAGAGAGAGAGAGAGAGAGAGAGAGAGAGAGAGAGAGAGAGAGAUAUAUACACACACACAGUAGUCCUACAGAUGGCACUAUACUCACCCAUACAGAUAAUUGAAGCACUCAGCAAUCCCAGGAGAAACAUGAUCUUCUUGAGCUAACUCUCCAUAGACUGUAGCAUAGAAUAGUUGGGUCCUGGAACGCUUCACUUACAACAAGUAGCAGCAAAGGACGCAACCUCGCUCAUGCGCAUAGCAGACGAAGAAGCAGCCCCCAGACCAUUGCUGAAGAAAGAAUCUGCCUGUGGCUGAAUCUAGUUGAUGAUACCUGAUCUAUAGUCUGCUGCCAACCCCCCUGACACAGUGGGUGUCUCUCUACAGCUGUCUUGGGUCUGUCCUCAGAACAUGCACCUCUAUAUCCUAGUGAGUGCCCUUCUCAGCAUCCCUGUCUCUUUGGCUUUCUCUUUGGGUUGGAAUGAAGACUUACAGAUAGUGUGUUCUGGUCGAGAGUUCCGCCUGCCGGUCUACUCAGGCUCAAGAAUCGUGACCUUUACCCCCAGCUACACACCAGGACAACUAAAAGUGCUUCUGGAGAACAACAAUUUGAAGGACCCGCGGUUUGAGUGGACGAAAGAUAGGACGUUGCUGCUGAAUGACGUCACACACCGUGACCAGGGGCUCUACUCUAUCAAACUGUCCUCUGGAUUCACCUAUGAGACCGUUCGCCUCACUGUCUCAGAAUGUAUAAAAACCUUCCGUCUGGGCUAUGGGGAAACCUUUCAGCACAACAUCCCUAAAUAUGGCUCCGUGCUGGAGUUCUCUCCCCGGGGCUCCCCCUCUGACUCCCAGACGGUAUUACUGUGGAACCGGAUGGACCCUGAGACCAGCGAGGCGAGCCGGGGGAGGCUAGGGUCAAGUGGGAGGGUCUGGGUGGCAGAGAGGGUGACCCAGGCAGACCAGGGAAACUACACCCUCCGAGACGAGAAUGGGAAAGUAAUCUCCCGCAGCAAGUUGACUGUCAAUGGUGAGCACUAG